UGCAAGUCGAGCGAAUGGAUUAAGAGCUUGCUCUUAUGAAGUUAGCGGCGGACGGGUGAGUAACACGUGGGUAACCUGCCCAUAAGACUGGGAUAACUCCGGGAAACCGGGGCUAAUACCGGAUAACAUUUUGAACCGCAUGGUUCGAAAUUGAAAGGCGGCUUCGGCUGUCACUUAUGGAUGGACCCGCGUCGCAUUAGCUAGUUGGUGAGGUAACGGCUCACCAAGGCAACGAUGCGUAGCCGACCUGAGAGGGUGAUCGGCCACACUGGGACUGAGACACGGCCCAGACUCCUACGGGAGGCAGCAGUAGGGAAUCUUCCGCAAUGGACCAAAA
Molecule: ribosomal RNA, 337 nt
Filed under: Bacillus sp. 14-6
Lineage: Bacteria; Bacillati; Bacillota; Bacilli; Caryophanales; Bacillaceae
Description: bacterial SSU rRNA
Rfam family: Bacterial small subunit ribosomal RNA
Source: RNAcentral